RNAcentral lists this ribosomal RNA (253 nucleotides) under uncultured bacterium. RNAcentral's name for it is "partial 16S ribosomal RNA". It matches the Rfam family "Bacterial small subunit ribosomal RNA", at positions 524 to 776 of the family's 1533-position model. The record is from RNAcentral.
UACGUAGGGUGCGAGCGUUGUCCGGAAUUAUUGGGCGUAAAGGGCUCGUAGGCGGUUUGUCGCGUCGGGAGUGAAAUCCACUGGCUUAACUGGUGGCCUGCUUUCGAUACGGGCAGACUGGAGGUAUGCAGGGGAGAACGGAAUUCCUGGUGUAGCGGUGAAAUGCGCAGAUAUCAGGAGGAACACCGGUGGCGAAGGCGGUUCUCUGGGCAUGUCCUGACGCUGAGGAGCGAAAGUGUGGGGAGCGAACAGG